CCUGAUCAGCAUGCCGCGUGCAGGAAGAAGGCCUUCGGGUUGUAAACUGCUUUUGUUCGGAACGAAACGGCUCUGGUUAAUACCCGGGGCUAAUGACGGUACCGUAAGAAUAAGCACCGGCUAACUACGUGCCAGCAGCCGCGGUAAUACGUAGGGUGCGAGCGUUAAUCGGAAUUACUGGGCGUAAAGCGUGCGCAGGCGGUGCUGUAAGACAGGCGUGAAAUCCCCGGGCUUAACCUGGGAAUGGCGCUUGUGACUGCAGUGCUGGAGUGCGGCAGAGGGGGAUGGAAUUCCGCGUGUAGCAGUGAAAUGCGUAAAUAUGCGGAGGAACACCGAUGGCGAAGGCAAUCCCCUGGGCCUGCACUGACGCUCAUGCACGAAAGCGUGGGGAGCAAACAGGAUUAAAUACCCUGGUAGUCCACGCCCUAAACGAUGUCAACUGGUUGUUGGGUCUCUUCUGACUCAGUAACGAAGCUAACGCGUGAAGUUGACCGCCUGGGGAGUACGGCCCCAAGGUUGAAACUCAAGAAAUGGGCUGACCGACCCCUAGGUGGUUUUCGGUU
This 563-nucleotide ribosomal RNA is filed under the name uncultured bacterium. RNAcentral's name for it is "bacterial SSU rRNA". It matches the Rfam family "Bacterial small subunit ribosomal RNA", at positions 382 to 946 of the family's 1533-position model. The record is from RNAcentral.